GAUGAACGCUGGCGGCGUGCCUAAUACAUGCAAGUCGAGCGAACGGACGAGAAGCUUGCUUCUCUGAUGUUAGCGGCGGACGGGUGAGUAACACGUGGAUAACCUACCUAUAAGACUGGGAUAACUUCGGGAAACCGGAGCUAAUACCGGAUAAUAUUUUGAACCGCAUGGUUCAAAAGUGAAAGACGGUCUUGCUGUCACUUAUAGAUGGAUCCGCGCUGCAUUAGCUAGUUGGUAAGGUAACGGCUUACCAAGGCAACGAUGCAUAGCCGACCUGAGAGGGUGAUCGGCCACACUGGAACUGAGACACGGUCCAGACUCCUACGGGAGGCAGCAGUAGGGAAUCUUCCGCAAUGGGCGAAAGCCUGACGGAGCAACGCCGCGUGAGUGAUGAAGGUCUUCGGAUCGUAAAACUCUGUUAUUAGGGAAGAACAUAUGUGUAAGUAACUGUGCACAUCUUGACGGUACCUAAUCAGAAAGCCACGGCUAACUACGUGCCAGCAGCCGCGGUAAUACGUAGGUGGCAAGCGUUAUCCGGAAUUAUUGGGCGUAAAGCGCGCGUAGGCGGUUUUUUAAGUCUGAUGUGAAAGCCCACGGCUCAACCGUGGAGGGUCAUUGGAAACUGGAAAACUUGAGUGCAGAAGAGGAAAGUGGAAUUCCAUGUGUAGCGGUGAAAUGCGCAGAGAUAUGGAGGAACACCAGUGGCGAAGGCGACUUUCUGGUCUGUAACUGACGCUGAUGUGCGAAAGCGUGGGGAUCAAACAGGAUUAGAUACCCUGGUAGUCCACGCCGUAAACGAUGAGUGCUAAGUGUUAGGGGGUUUCCGCCCCUUAGUGCUGCAGCUAACGCAUUAAGCACUCCGCCUGGGGAGUACGACCGCAAGGUUGAAACUCAAAGGAAUUGACGGGGACCCGCACAAGCGGUGGAGCAUGUGGUUUAAUUCGAAGCAACGCGAAGAACCUUACCAAAUCUUGACAUCCUUUGACAACUCUAGAGAUAGAGCUUUCCCCUUCGGGGGACAAAGUGACAGGUGGUGCAUGGUUGUCGUCAGCUCGUGUCGUGAGAUGUUGGGUUAAGUCCCGCAACGAGCGCAACCCUUAAGCUUAGUUGCCAUCAUUAAGUUGGGCACUCUAAGUUGACUGCCGGUGACAAACCGGAGGAAGGUGGGGAUGACGUCAAAUCAUUAUGCCCCUUAUGAUUUGGGCUACACACGUGCUACAAUGGACAAUACAAAGGGCAGCGAAACCGCGAGGUCAAGCAAAUCCCAUAAAGUUGUUCUCAGUUCGGAUUGUAGUCUGCAACUCGACUACAUGAAGCUGGAAUCGCUAGUAAUCGUAGAUCAGCAUGCUACGGUGAAUACGUUCCCGGGUCU
This 1372-nucleotide ribosomal RNA is filed under the name uncultured bacterium. Its description in RNAcentral is "bacterial SSU rRNA". It matches the Rfam family "Bacterial small subunit ribosomal RNA", at positions 28 to 1381 of the family's 1533-position model. The record is from RNAcentral.